Molecule: long non-coding RNA, 1996 nt
Organism: Prinia subflava (tawny-flanked prinia)
Lineage: Eukaryota; Metazoa; Chordata; Aves; Passeriformes; Cisticolidae
Exons: 3
Source: RefSeq, a predicted model, not a curated record
UGUAACAUUCUCUGUAUUUGAAGGCAGAAUAACAUCAAGAAAAACUGUUGGAAAGGGACUUGUCAGAUACCAAACAAAAAACUCAAGUUAUCAGGAUAAGAAAAAAUUUUAUUUCUAUUUGUUACAAUUUCAAAGUAAAUAGCUCCACAAGGUUAAGAAAAGCAGCAACUUUUAAAUGUGACAAGAGGACUCUGUAUCUGGCAAAUGAAAUGAAAUGUAUCAAACCCAGUUCAGUUUCUGCCUUUAAAAUACCAGAGGUGAAAAACAGAGAAGCUGUGGAUAAUGUGAGCACAGAAAUCACAGCCUGGAUCUCUCUGUUGACCUUCUCACACUGUGGUACCAGUCACACUGGAAUAAACCAAAGUUUCAUCCAUCAGCCUGAUCACAGAGCAAAGGUUACACGGGCUUCAACAGGCACCCAGAACCCAGGCAAUGCCUAGUGUGAGUUUUAUCCCUCUUUCUAUUUUCAAACUUUAAGCAGAGAAACAGCUGAGUUAUUUCUGGACAACUGUACCUUCCACAGGUAUCCUUCUCUUUAACUACAUUGCAGUUCAGAGCAGACAAUAAAUCCUUCAUCUGCUCAGACACAGACCUAUUAAGUAACAUGCUUUUCUGCUCUCCCCCUGUAUUUCUACUUAAUUAGAUUCUGGAACUAAGGAUGCAUCCAUGGCUUUCCCUAAAUAGAGUGUGAUCUUCACAUGGGAUAUUGAAACAACUCAGUUCUGCUGACAUCCCUUAUGUCAGCUGAGAAUCUAGCCUCUGAUUCUUUUUUGUGACGUAAGUGCAAUCAGUGCCAUUAAUAUCUUGCCAGAAGGCAUUAAACCUUCUUUUACAGUUUAUUGAUUUUGUAAUUUUUUUCAAUUGUCUUUGCUGCUGAUUGGAAGAGGAUAUUUGCAUCACUGAUUUCAAUAAGGCUUAAAGGAAUAAGGAUGCAACAAAACAGGCUCACAUGUGGACAUGCUUCUGAAUUCAUAGUAUAUUUUUUGGUUCAUCUCAGCUAGAUUUGGGAGGGUGAAUUGGUCUGUAAUUUGGGGUAAUUCUGUGAGCCAUUUUGUGCCAUGCCUAAUUUUACCAUCAGAUAGGAUUGUUCUAUAUAAAGGUAGAAAGCCUCACACUCUUCUCCACUCAUUUAACAGGCAAAAGUAAGAAACUGGGAGAAAAAAAUCCAAGUGAUUAAAAAAAAAAAAAAAAAAAAAACAGGUUAUUAUUCAAUAAACAAGCUAAGAGAUGAACAUUAACUAAGCACAAGUAUUGUAGACCAACAAAAAUAUGCUGAGAAAAAAAUAGUUGGUUUAUGGAGAGAGUUGUAUUCUGUGUUGUUCUGCAGCUCCCUGGCCUUAAUUCUUCCCUUUUUUCUUCCUGCCUCCAAUCUGACUUUCCCUCUGUAAAGGGUGGAUAAACCCCGUGUUGCUUCUUUCGUUUUUUCUCUGCUUUUCCUUUUCUUCCAUCAAAACUGAAUAUACAGCUCGAUUUAUCUUUAUUACGUGGUCAGUUUUCAAGUGUAAGCACUUUUUUAAUGCCUGCUUUGUAUCCGUACAGAGGUGUUUUCAGUCUGAAACAAAUGAGGUUGCACUUGCAUUUCAUGGCUAUAGUGUGAAGGAGGAAACAGAAGGUGACAACUCCUAAGAGCAAGAUGGGAAAUCCUGCAGGCUUUCACAGAAUCUUUUGCCCCCAGAAGAGGUGAAAUAGGUGAAUUUACUUGGUAUGAAAACAAGGUCCUGAGCACGUGUAUUUCCCUCCUCACAUCCUACAGCACCCACACUUAGAAAAUAUGGGAUACAUUUGUAAUGAAGAGAUGAAUAAUGCACCUACUAAAGAGGUCACCAGUUUCAAUCAGUUUGAGCUCUGGGUCUCCCAAAUUUCAUCCAUGACAUGCAGACUGCUAACCAGAAUCAGGAAAUAUUUUUUCCCUAUUGUGGACUACACCCAGUAAUAUCAAGCAUAAACCACUGGGUCACUGGGUACCUUGUUAGAGUACUAGGGAAAUCAACGUGUU